Molecule: unclassified non-coding RNA, 329 nt
Filed under: uncultured fungus
Lineage: Eukaryota; Fungi
Description: sequence contains ITS1
Source: RNAcentral
UUGGUUUUGUUAGUUUUGUGUCUGACAACAGACAGUUUUUUUCAUAAGUUAAUACUCAGAAGUUUUUUGUGAAGUCGUUCUCUUGGGUUGUGAAGCCAAGCGAAAGAUUCAAAUCAGUGGUCUAAAAUGACAGCUCAGAAGUGGAAACGUGGGCUGGCUGUGCUUAGGUAUUCCUAAACCGUCAGUACUUUUUCCGUUGUCUCUGCUCUGUAAAAUGAAGAGUUGCCUCUUCGAAAAACGGUACGCGGGUCGAAAAGUGAAGCCAUUGCUGACAACACUUUUUUGAAAAGGGUGUGGUAAUGAUCCUUCCGCAGGUUCACCUACGGAAA